AGAGAGAGCCAAACAGAGCAGCAGAUAC
RNAcentral lists this non-coding RNA (28 nucleotides) under Cricetulus griseus (Chinese hamster). The record is from RNAcentral. Lineage: Eukaryota; Metazoa; Chordata; Mammalia; Rodentia; Cricetidae.